Molecule: non-coding RNA, 3460 nt
Organism: Cricetulus griseus (Chinese hamster)
Lineage: Eukaryota; Metazoa; Chordata; Mammalia; Rodentia; Cricetidae
Source: RefSeq, a predicted model, not a curated record
CUGUGCGCUUGUCCAUAAAGUACACCCAGGGUCAUAAAGCAUAGCGCCACCAGCUAACUUCUGAUUGGUUCCUUGUCACGAGGCAGGCACCUAACCUCUAGUGACUAAGAUAAGGUCUUAGGGAGCAUGUAUUACUGUCAUGGCUGCCGAAAUGGGGAGCUGGUCCCUUCAUUAUGAAUUUAUUUUAAACUUUUAGUGCAAACAUGGCAUACAUACAUAAAAAGACACAAAUCGCUCUGUACCAAUGGCAUAAAGAAGGUAAUUAUAUAACCAUUACAUACACAACUCAUUUAAUUAUUAUAUUUAUAUAUAUUUAUAUUUAUAUUACUCAUUUAAUUAUUACUUGUCUAUUCCCGAGUGUCAUUGUAUUCUGAAUUUUAAAACAAAAUAUUGUACUUGCUAAUACUUAACCUUUAUGUAAACUAAAUUAUAGGUAGUAUAUUUUGUGUUUGGCUUUACUUAACAUUGUGUGAUUUAUCCCUGAUGUUACCUGUAGAGUUGUACAUUUGUUUCACUGUUACAUAUUAUUCUAUUAGUAUAACACAAUUUAUCUAUUUUGUUGUUAAUGGGUAUUGGCUACAUUUCCAAUACUUGGUUGAAGGGAUGCUGUUAGGAAUAUUCUUGUACAUAUUUUUUAGUGUGCUCCUAUAUGCAUUUUGUUGGUGGUUCUCUUAGACAUAAUUCACUGAUAGAAUUUCUAGAUUCUUGCGACUUUGGAGGUCACUAUGAAAGCAGGUCAAAUAUGAAAGGGAGGAAUGCUUCACAGGAAUCAUGGCUUCAAUGAAUGAGACAGAUACUAUGUAUUGGCCAACUCUGGGCUCGGUGUGUUGGGUAUACAUGUUCCUGUGAAUCUGUGCAUGCAUGCUUGUGUGUGUGUGAUGCAGAGGUUAGAGGUCAAGUGUGGGUAUAUUCCCUGAUCCCUCUUCAUUUUAUCUUUGAGACAGAGUCUCUCACUGAACCUGGGGCUUGUGGGUUUGGAUAGGCUGGCUGGACAAUGAGCUUUAGAGAUCUCUCACUCUCUCAGCACUGGGGUUAAAAAAACACAUACCAUGGCAGGCUUUUUACAUGGGUCUUUGUACUUGGGUGGCAGACAUUUUAUCAGCUGAACCAUUUCUCCAGCCCCAAGUUUGGGCUUCUUACAUGAAAACAAAUGGCAGAGAAAGGGAGCACUCUCCUGGUAGGAGUAAAGGACCCCAAUUGACGGAAGGAAUUUGGAUUGCUGCUGUUCAAUGGAAUAAAUAGUAUUUGGAACAUAGGAUUUUUCAUUAAGAUUCCCCAAUGUAUCCUCUGACCGUGGCCUACUACUAGUCUACUAAUAUAUAGGGAGGGAGGCAGUAAUCUCCUAAGGGCCUCAACUAAGACUCAUAUCUUACAGCAGUAUAUGUUUCAGUCACUCUACCUUAGUAAAGAAUUGUAUUUAACUUAGUUGUUUGGCAGAGUGAGAGAAUACUAGCAUGUACAAUAAACAGAAGCAGCUAUGCCUGAGAAUCUAGACGGUAUGAUCAGUUGAAAAGUGGAAUAUAGAAAACAAAUUAUUUUGCUAUUUUUCUUCUCUGCCAUGUGUGAAGCUAGACUAAGGCCAUUAGCACACUAAGCCCACCAGAAUUUAGUUGGGACAAAUUCUGAUCUAUCUUUAUAUCACUUGGGUUCUUAGACUACAUGUAUUAACUGAAAGCUUGAAGUUGAUGAACUCUGAAUUUCACAUACACACCCCUUCCUAUUUAGUCCUGUGAACCUAUGGCAAGCUCUACUUUGUUUUCUAGUUGCUUGUGGAAGAGCCAAAUGGCUUUCUGGGAAAAGCCCCAUUCUGAUUCUUCCUUUAUUUGUAUUAUUUGAAAGAACUCUGGCAGUCUUCACUAAUUUGGUAGCUUCCUAAUGACUUUAAAACAGGUAUGCCUGUUUUAUUUUGAUUUAGCUUUUCUUGUUGUUUGCAAUAAAAGUAUGAGCAAAACUUAGUUCUUCACGAUCAGAAAUAGAACCUAAAGAAUCCCGUCUGUCUUUUCCUCUGUCUCUGUCUCUGACACACCAUCACUCUAGAUAGCUCAGAUUGGCCUCAAACUGCAAUACUCCUGCUCCUGCCUCUGGAGUGCUGGAAGUACUGGCAUUGCACACCAUGCUGGCCUCUGAUUAUUUUCCAUACAAUAACACAACAGUGAAAACUUCAUUGUGCAACUUUGUAACGAAAGUCAUGCUUUAUAUGGUAGUGAUAUGCAAAAGCAGACAUGAGAAGGAAGAGUAGAAACAGAAACCUAAGAAGGGUCUACAUUAAUAGAUCAAGUAUGAGCUGAUGAGAGUCACCGUGGAGAAUGUAAAGAAUGCCUGUCAAGAGUCGCAGGACCGAUAAUUACGCUGAUCCUGUCACCUCUGCCUGGCCUAGAACUCGGCAGCAGCCCAGCUGACCUUAACUCAAUCACCUGUGUGCCACCAGAUGCAGCACUGUUUAGUGCAAUUCUGUUCCACAGAUAUGACACCAAAUCAACUGCUAAGUAUCUGUUGCUUGUUUUUGACCAUCAUGACUAAUAGCUACUAUAAACAUUUGUGUAUUUGUUCUCUGUAGAAAAAAAACACACUAAUUCUUUUUUAUCUCAAAGAUUUGUGCAUGGCCCAUUAAAGCGCAAACCCUACCAAUUUAAGGUCAAAAUGAUGUUUUCAAUAUGAAAGCACAGGUCUUGUUUUGAAACAGUGUCAUUAUGUAACCCAGGUUGGCCUCCAACCAGAGCUCUCUUUCCUGUAGCUCCUCAGUGCUGAGAUAACAGGGCUGUGAUGCCAUGGCCAGCCAAAAUACAAUUUCCUCAAACAGUAUUAAUUUAACUUUGUAAGAAUGAUACUGUAAACCAGAGAGCACAAAAUUAAUUGGAUUUUUAUGCAAGCAAUAUAUUUGUUUCACUUGGGUUCCAAAUCAUGUAUUUGCAGAAUAUGCCAAUAAGCUUUGAAUAUAAAUCUUAUAGUUUAUUGUGUAUAUGAUAUGUACUGCCUGAGGGCACUUUUUAGACAGGAUCACGUCAUAUAUGCUGGCCUCAAACUUCAAAACAAUUUAUGUGUAUGAGUGUUUUGCCUCGAUGUAUUUAUGUUAUGUGCAAGCUUGGUGCCCAUGGAGGCUAAAAGGCAUCAGAUCCACUGGAACUGGAGUUACGGACGGCUGUGGGUCACAAUGAAACAAGAGCUCUUAACUUCUGAGGCAUCUCUCCAGCCUCUGGCUUUCCACUCUUCAUGUAACUGAGGAUGACCUUGAACUCCUGAUCCUUCUGCCUCUACCUCCCAAGGCUGAGAUGAUAGGCCUUCAAUACCAUGCCCAGCUAAAACAUUGAAUUGUAUUCUUUACUAAUCACUAAUGACAAUUUUUGUAUUUCUUUAACUAAUGAUGUAGGGAUAAAUACCAUAGUGUUAGCCAAACCUACUUUUUAGUCAGUGUGUGUGACUUUGUAUCACAUUACAAUUCUAAUAAAGAUUGGCACUACCA